AAAAAAAAACCAAAAAAACAAAGCCAAAAUUGUUCUUCCUCGUAAAUAAAAUCAGUCAAAACAGUUAUCUAGAAUAUGAAGAGAAACAUGUUAGGUGCAUUUAAGCUAGUAUAAUGAAAUUUAUAAUUGAAUGGUAAGAAGAAAAACAAGAUCUUACUAGCAGAGGGUAUAAUUUUGGUUGAAUCCCGUAACAAACUGUCUGUAGAAAAACAAUACUAACAGGGAUACAACUGAGAGUAGGACGGAGAAGCACACAAGACCAGAAAUGCUUGAAUUAAGAAGAACUGAACAUCGUUAGAUAAUAAUGGGAUCUCCAGCAUUUUUCAUGUGCAGACUGAUGGCUAACAGCUCUUCAUGGUAUUUACAGGAAAAAUGCAUAGUGCUAAAUAAUCGCCACAUGCCGUGGGAGUAAGUUCUGUUUUUAAUAAAACCAAUCUGGUCUGGAUCA
Molecule: long non-coding RNA, 448 nt
Organism: Zonotrichia albicollis (white-throated sparrow)
Lineage: Eukaryota; Metazoa; Chordata; Aves; Passeriformes; Passerellidae
Source: Ensembl